UCCGGGAUCGUCUAACGGUAGGACACGUGGCUCUGGACCACGGUAUCGGGGUUCGAAUCCCUGUCCCGGAACCA
This 74-nucleotide transfer RNA is filed under the name Acidobacteriota bacterium. RNAcentral describes it as "Acidobacteria bacterium tRNA-Gln". It matches the Rfam family "tRNA". Rfam says of the family: Transfer RNA (tRNA) molecules are approximately 80 nucleotides in length. Their secondary structure includes four short double-helical elements and three loops (D, anti-codon, and T loops). The record is from RNAcentral. Lineage: Bacteria; Pseudomonadati; Acidobacteriota. RNAcentral also lists the same sequence under 4 other names.